This 539-nucleotide ribosomal RNA is filed under the name uncultured bacterium. Its description in RNAcentral is "bacterial SSU rRNA". It matches the Rfam family "Bacterial small subunit ribosomal RNA", at positions 777 to 1319 of the family's 1533-position model. The record is from RNAcentral.
AAUAGAUACCCAGGUAGUCCACACUGUAAACGAUGAUUACUAGGUGUAGGGUGGUUGAACCAUUCUGUGCCGGAGUUAACACAAUAAGUAAUCCACCUGGGGAGUACGGCCGCAAGGUUGAAACUCAAAGGAAUUGACGGGGGCCCGCACAAGCAGUGGAGUAUGUGGUUUAAUUCGACGCAACGCGAAAAACCUUACCAGGUCUUGACAUCCGACUAACGAAGCAGAGAUGCAUAAGGUGCCCUUCGGGGAAAGUCGAGACAGGUGGUGCAUGGUUGUCGUCAGCUCGUGUCGUGAGAUGUUGGGUUAAGUCCCGCAACGAGCGCAACCCUUAUUGUUAGUUGCUACGCAAGAGCACUCUAACGAGACUGCCGUUGACAAAACGGAGGAAGGUGGGGAUGACGUCAAAUCAUCAUGCCCUUUAUGACCUGGGCUACACACGUACUACAAUGGCGGUAAACAGAGGGGAGCGAAGGGGUGACCCGGAGCAAAUCCUCAAAAGCCGUCUCAGUUCAGAUUGCAGGCUGCAACUCGCCUGC